AAUGAACGCUGGCGGCAUGCCUAACACAUGCAAGUCGAACGAAGGCUUCGGCCUUAGUGGCGCACGGGUGCGUAACGCGUGGGAAUCUGCCCUCAGGUUCGGAAUAACAGCGAGAAAUUGCUGCUAAUACCGGAUGAUAUCGCGAGAUCAAAGAUUUAUCGCCAGAGGAUGAGCCCGCGUAGGAUUAGCUAGUUGGUGUGGUAAAGGCGCACCAAGGCGACGAUCCUUAGCUGGUCUGAGAGGAUGAUCAGCCACACUGGGACUGAGACACGGCCCAGACUCCUACGGGAGGCAGCAGUGGGGAAUAUUGGACAAUGGGCGAAAGCCUGAUCCAGCAAUGCCGCGUGAGUGAUGAAGGCCUUAGGGUUGUAAAGCUCUUUUACCCGGGAUGAUAAUGACAGUACCGGGAGAAUGAGCUCCGGCUAACUCCGUGCCAGCAGCCGCCGUAA
This 449-nucleotide ribosomal RNA is filed under the name uncultured bacterium. RNAcentral's name for it is "partial 16S ribosomal RNA". It matches the Rfam family "Bacterial small subunit ribosomal RNA", at positions 29 to 523 of the family's 1533-position model. The record is from RNAcentral.